Molecule: transfer RNA, 78 nt
Filed under: Marine Group III euryarchaeote CG-Bathy2
Lineage: Archaea; Methanobacteriati; Thermoplasmatota; Thermoplasmata; Candidatus Thermoprofundales
Also listed under: 6 other names
Description: tRNA-Asp
Rfam family: tRNA
About the family: Transfer RNA (tRNA) molecules are approximately 80 nucleotides in length. Their secondary structure includes four short double-helical elements and three loops (D, anti-codon, and T loops). Further hydrogen bonds mediate the characteristic L-shaped molecular structure. tRNAs have two regions of fundamental functional importance: the anti-codon, which is responsible for specific mRNA codon recognition, and the 3' end, to which the tRNAs corresponding amino acid is attached (by aminoacyl-tRNA synthetases). tRNAs cope with the degeneracy of the genetic code in two manners: having more than one tRNA (with a specific anti-codon) for a particular amino acid; and 'wobble' base-pairing, i.e. permitting non-standard base-pairing at the 3rd anti-codon position.
Source: RNAcentral
GCUCGAGUGGUGUAGCCUGGCCUAUCAUCUCAGCCUGUCGAGCUGAGGACUCGGGUUCAAAUCCCGGCUCGGGCGCCA